UAAUGCCCCCUGAAGCCCAGG
RNAcentral lists this microRNA (21 nucleotides) under Melibe leonina. RNAcentral describes it as "mle-miR-12097-3p". The record is from miRBase by way of RNAcentral. Lineage: Eukaryota; Metazoa; Mollusca; Gastropoda; Nudibranchia; Dendronotidae.